This 245-nucleotide ribosomal RNA is filed under the name uncultured bacterium. RNAcentral describes it as "partial 16S ribosomal RNA". It matches the Rfam family "Bacterial small subunit ribosomal RNA", at positions 524 to 768 of the family's 1533-position model. The record is from RNAcentral.
UACGUAUGGGGCAAGCGUUGUUCGGAGUUAUUGGGCGUAAAGGGCGUGUAGGCGGCUCAGUAAGUCUGGUGUGAAAUCGCAGGGCUCAACCCUGCGUAUGCGCUGGAAACUGUUGGGCUUGAGUUCCUGAGGGGAAGCUAGAAUUCCAGGUGUAGGGGUGAAAUCUGUAGAUAUCUGGAAGAAUACCGGUGGCGAAGGCGAGCUUCUAUCAGAGGACUGACGCUGAGGCGCGAAAGCGUGGGGAG